AAGUCGUAACAAGGUUUCCGUAGGUGAACCUGCGGAAGGAUCAUUAACACGUAUCCAACGUUAAACAACCCUGUGAACUUUCAGACGCUCUUGUAGCCCAGGAGGAACAGCAAUCCCGGUAAAUCAAUGGCAGAAAAGUUUUGAUUCGGGACCUCUGUCCAAAAGGUAUCAAGUUACAAUCUGAACAACUGUUAACAAUGGAUAUCUUGGUUCUC
RNAcentral lists this unclassified non-coding RNA (215 nucleotides) under fungal sp. RNAcentral describes it as "partial internal transcribed spacer region". The stretch from base 1 to 46 matches the Rfam family "Eukaryotic small subunit ribosomal RNA", at positions 1786 to 1831 of the family's 1831-position model. The record is from RNAcentral. Lineage: Eukaryota; Fungi.